RNAcentral lists this long non-coding RNA (4230 nucleotides) under Homo sapiens (human). RNAcentral describes it as "HSALNT0338972". The record is from RNAcentral. Lineage: Eukaryota; Metazoa; Chordata; Mammalia; Primates; Hominidae.
CUGACAUCAUGAUGGGGGGAGAGACACUGUGUUAGUCGCUGGGGAGCACCUGUCAGACGGCAGCAGCCGGUCCCCCAGAAGCUGAGCCACGGGAGACACAGCAGGUCCAUGAGCCACCCCGGGAGCCCCACUCCUCCAGGCCUGCAGGGAUCACUCUGUGUGUCCAAAAAAGAAACAAAAACCAUCAUCACCUGCAUGCCACAAACACAAAGACAAAUGAUCCCAUGGGAUGAGGACCACAGAGUCCACUGAAAUCUCAUCACACUGGAGGACCUAUCCAAAAACACUCAAAUAAGGCCAGGGGCAGUCACUCACACCUGUAAUCCCAGCACUUUGGAGGCUGAGGCAGGUGGAUCACCUCAGGUCAGGAGUUCAAGACCAGCCUGACCAAUAUGGUGAAACCCCAUCUCCACUAAAAAUACAAAAAUUAGCUGGGCAUGGCGGCAUGCACCUGUAAUCCCAGCUACUCCAGAGGCUGAGACAGGAGAAUUGCUUGAAUCCGGGAGGCAGAGGUUGCAGUGAGCUGAGAUCGCGCAACCACACUCCAGUUUGGGCGACAGAACGAGACUCUGUCUCAAAACAAACAAACCAACAAAACACUCGAAUAAUAAUCUUGCCGGGCGCAGUGGCUCACGCCUGUAAUCCCAGCACUUUGGGAGGCCGAGUAGGGCGAAUCACGAGGUAAGGAGAUCGAGACUAUGGUGAAACCCCAUCUCUACUAAAAAUACAAAAAAUUAGCCGAGCCUGGUGGUGGGCACCUAGUCCCAGCUACUUGGGAGGCUGAGGCAGGAGAAUGGCAUGAACCCCGGAGGCGGAGCUUGCAGUGAGCUGCGAUCACACCACUGCACCCCAGCCUGGGCAACAGAGCGAGACUCCGUCUCAAAAACUAACAAUACUAAUCUUUAGCUGGAUACAGUGACUCACACCUGUACCCCAGCGCUCUGGGAGACUGAGGCAAGAGGAUUGCUAGAGCCUGGGAGUUUAAGAACAGCCUGGGCAACAUAGUGAAACCCCAUCUCUCCCAAAAAAUCAAAAAAUUAGCCAGGCGUGGUGGAGCGCCUGUGGUCCCAGGUGCUUACAGAGGGCUGAGGCAGGAGGAUCACUUGAGCCCAGGAGUUCCAUGCUGCAAGGAGCCAUGAUCACAACACUGCACUCCAGCCUGGGGACCCUGUCCCCAGAAAACAACAAAAAUAAAAACAAACAAUCUUCAAGUUAAACACAAUGAACAUAAAUUCCUGAAAGACUCUCCACAUGGGGGGAAGGCCUCUUCUAUGCCGCGUUUAUUCCCAAAGACUUUUUAUAAGAUUUGAUACUAACUAUCAGAGUUCAGAAAACAGAAAGCUCAGAGAGUAAAAUGAAGGUAAAAGAUUUGGCCAGGCAUGGUGGCUCAUGCCUUUAAUCCCAGUACUUUGGGGGGCCAUGCCAGGAGGAUUGCUUGAGGCCAAGAGUUCAAGACCAGCCUGGGCAACAUAGUGAGACUUCAUCUAUACCAAAAACAAACAAACAAAUCAGCCAAGUACUGUGGUGCAUGCCUGUGGUCCCAGCUAUUCUGGGAGGCUGAAGUGGGAGAAUUGCUUGAACUCAGGAGGUCGAGGCUGCAAUGACCUACGAUUGCACCACUGCACUAUAGCCUAGAGGACAGAGCAAGACCUUGUCUCAAAAAAUAAAAUAAAAUAGAUUUUUAAUUUUUGUAUGAAGAAGCAGGUUUUUUUCUGGUUUUUUUGUUGUUGUUGUUGUCGUCUUUGACACAAAGUCUCACUCUGUUACCCAGGCUGGAGUGCAAUGGCACGACCUGGGCUCACUGCAGCCUCUGCCUCCUGGGUUCAAGCAGUCCUCUUGCCUCAGCCUCCCAAAUAGCUGGGAUUACAGGUGCCUGCCACCAAGCCUGGCUAAUUUUUUUUUUCUUUUUUUUGAUGGUGUCUCUGUCGUCCAGGCUGGAGUGCAGUGGCGCAAUCUUGGCUCACUCCAACCUCUUCCUCCUAGGUUCAAGCAAUUCUCCUGCCUCAGCCUCCUGAGUAGCUGGAAUUACAGGUGCACGCCACCGCACCCAGCUAAUUUUUGUAUUUUUAGUAGAGGCGGGGUUUCACCAUGUUAGUCAGGCUAGUCUUGAACUCCUGACCUCGUGAUCCACCCGCCUCGGCCUCCCAAAGUGCUAGGAUUACAGGCGUAAGCCACCACGCCCGGCCGGUUUUUUGGGGUUUGUUUUGCUUUUUUUUGUUUUCCUUUUUUGUUUUGUAUUUUUAUUAGAGAUGGGGUUUUGCUAUGUUGGCCAGGCUGGUCUCAAACUCCUGACCUCAAGUGAUCCGACAGCCUCAGCCUCCCAAAGUGCUGGGAUUACAGGAAGGAGCCACCGCGCCAGCCUGAAGAAGAGGUUUAAAAAGAAAAAACCAAAAACAAAAAAACUACCAAGUAGCUACCUUAGUCUUUUUUGGAAAAAGACCAAACUUUAAACAUUUAAUAAUAAACAAAUGUAACAAUGAAUCCCCAGAAAUCUGAAAAGGUGCUGACACAAGCAUCCGUCUGUCUGAGUCACAGAAAAGGGCAGAGGGCACGAGGUGCCUGGAGGGCCUGAGGGCAGAGCUCAGCCGCAACCCGGCCCUGCUGCUUAGAGGCUCGGGGCCUUGGCAAAUGACAGCCUCCCUGAGCCUGUUUCUCCAUCCGUAAAACAGGCCUCCCAGCCCUGUGUCGGAGCAACUGAAACGAGGGUUAAAUGAGGAAACCAUGCGACAGAUGUCAGCAUAAUCCCUGCCACGCAGAGGAGGCAAAAUCACUUUGAAGGGUUAAAACUUGUUUCUCUGGUUAAAAAGGGAUGUACUCUUCAAAGUUAGAAAAAUACCUUGGCCCUCUCCCUCCCCCUCCCCCUCCCCCUCCCCCUCUCCCUCUCCCUCACCCCACAGUCUCCCUCUCAUGCGGAGCCGAAGCUGGACUGUACUGCUGCCAUCUCGGCUCACUGCAACCUCCCUGCCUGAUUCUCCUGCCUCAGUCUGCCGAAUGCCUGCGAUUGCAGGCACGCGCCGCCACGCCUGACUGGUUUUGGUGGAGACGGGGUUUCGCUGUGUUGGCCGGGCCGGUCUCCAGCCCCUAACCGCGAGUGAUCCGCCAACCUCGGCCUCCCGAGGUGCCGGGAUUGCAGACGGAGUCUCGUUCACUCAGUGCUCAAUGGUGCCCAGGCUGGAGUGCAGUGACGUGAUCUCGGCUCACUACAACCUACACCUCCCAGCCGCCUGCCUUGGCCUCCCAAAGUGCCGAGACUGCAGCCUCUGCCCGGCCGCCACCCCGUCUGGGAAGUGAGGAGUGUCUCUGCCUGGCCGCCCAUCGUCUGGGAUGUGAGGAGCCCCUCUGCCUGGCUGCCCAGUCUGGAAAGUGAGGAGCGUCUCCGCCCGGCCGCCAUCCCAUCUAGGAAGUGAGGAGCGCCUCUUCCCAGCCGCCAUCACAUCUAGGAAGUGAGGAGCGUCUCUGCCCGGCCGCCCAUAGUCUGAGAUGUGGGGAGCGCCUCUGCCCCGCCGCCCCAUCUGGGAUGUGAGGAGCGCCUCUGCCCGGCCGAGACCCCGUCUGGGAGGUGAGGAGCGUCUCUGCCCGGCCAGCCACCCCGUCCGGGAGGGAGAUGGGGGGGUCAGCCCCACCACCUGGCCAGCCGCCCCGUCCGGGAGGGAGGUGGGGGGGUCAGCCCCCCGCCUGGCCAGCCGCCCCAUCCGGGAGGGAGGUGGGGGGCGUCAGCCCUCCGCCCGGCCAGCCGCCCCAUCUGGGAUGUGAGGAGCGCCUCUGCCCGGCGAGACCCCGUCUGGGAGGUGAGGAGCGUCUCUGCCCGGCCGCCCCGUCUGAGAAGUGAGGAGACCCUCUGCCUGGCAACCACCCCGUCUGAGAAGUGAGGAGCCCCUCCGCCCGGCAGCUGCCCUGUCUGAGAAGUGAGGAGCCUCUCCGCCCGGCAGCCACCCCAUCUGGGAAGGUUAAAUGGAUUAAGGGCGGUGCAGGAUGUGCUUUGUUAAACAGAUGCUUGAAGGCAGCAUGCUCGUUAAGAGUCAUCACCACUCCCUAAUCUCAAGUAAUCAGGGACACAAACACUGCGGAAGGCCGCAGGGUCCUCUGCCUAGGAAAACCAGAGACCUUUGUUCACUUGUUUAUCUGCUGACCUUCCCUCCACUAUUGUCCCAUGACCCUGCCAAAUCCCCCUCUGCGAGAAACACCCAAGAAUGAUCAAUAAAAAAAUAAAUUAAAAAAAAAAAAAAAGAA